RNAcentral lists this ribosomal RNA (851 nucleotides) under uncultured bacterium. RNAcentral's name for it is "bacterial SSU rRNA". It matches the Rfam family "Bacterial small subunit ribosomal RNA", at positions 8 to 890 of the family's 1533-position model. The record is from RNAcentral.
AGAGUUUGAUCAUGGCUCAGAAUCAACGCUGGCGGCGUGCCUAACACAUGCAAGUCGAACGAGAAAGUGGAGCAAUCCAUGAGUAAAGUGGCGCACGGGUGAGUAACACGUGACUAACCUACCCUUGAGUGGGGAAUAACCUAGGGAAACCUGGGCUAAUACCGCAUAACACCUACGGGUCAAAGGAGCAAUUCGCUUAAGGAGGGGGUCGCGGCAGAUUAGUUAGUUGGCGGGGUAAUGGCCCACCAAGGCAGUGAUCUGUAUCCGGCCUGAGAGGGCGCACGGACACACUGGAACUGAAACACGGUCCAGACUCCUACGGGAGGCAGCAGUGGGGAAUUUUGCGCAAUGGGGGAAACCCUGACGCAGCAACGCCGCGUGGAGGAUGAAGUCCCUUGGGACGUAAACUCCUUUCGACCGGGAAGAUUAUGACGGUACCGGAAGAAGAAGCCCCGGCUAACUUCGUGCCAGCAGCCGCGGUAAUACGAGGGGGGCAAGCGUUGUUCGGAAUUAUUGGGCGUAAAGGGUGCGUAGGCGGUUCGGUAAGUCUCGUGUGAAAUCUUCGGGCUCAACUCGAAGUCUGCACGAGAAACUGCCGGGCUUGAGUGUGGGAGAGGUGAGUGGAAUUUCCGGUGUAGCGGUGAAAUGCGUAGAUAUCGGAAGGAACACCUGUGGCGAAAGCGGCUCACUGGACCACAACUGACGCUGAGGCACGAAAGCUAGGGGAGCAAACAGGAUUAGAUACCCUGGUAGUCCUAGCCCUAAACGAUGAUCGCUUGGUGUGACGGGUACCCAAUCCCGCCGUGCCGAAGCUAACGCGUUAAGCGAUCCGCCUGGGGAGUACGGUCGCA